UGAAAGUGUCUUAACUUUGGAUUUUUUGUUUAUUUUUGUUUUAAAUGUGAGUUUUUGCGAGAGAAUAUUUAUUUUUAAAUAAAAAUUUUGUUAAAGUUGCAUUAGAUAUUUUUAUUUUUUUUUUGUUAAGUCAAGAGAUAGUAAAAAAUUAAAAGUGUAAACAAAAUUUGUGCCAGCAGUUGCGGUUAUACAGAUUAUGCAAUUAAAAGUUUUUGGGUUUGGUUAAAAGUUUUUUAUGAUUUAAAAAAAAAAUUUAUUGAGUGAAAUUUUAAAUUUUAUAAAUUUUUUUUAUUGAGGCCAAGAAAUUUUAUUUUAAAACUAGGAUUAGAUACCCUAUUAUUAAAGUGUAAGUUUAUACCUUUAUUAGUAUUAGCUAUGUUCUUGAAAAUAAAAGGAAUUGGCGGUGUUUUAGUCUGUUCAGAGGAGCCUGUCUUGUAAUCGAUAGUCCACGUUUAAAUUAAUUUAAUUUAUUAGUUUAUAUAUCGCCGUGGUUGAGUAUCUUUUUAGAGUAUAAUAUUCUUGAUUUAUAGAUAAUUUAUAGCAGGUCAAGAUGUAACUUAUAAUUAAAUAUUGAUGGGCUACAUUUUAUUUAUAAUUUGAUUAAAUUAUUAAGGUAUUUAUAAAAUUGGAUUUGAUAGUAAUGUUUUUUAUAUUUUUAAAAUGAUUUUAGCUCUAAAACAUGCACAUAUCGCCCGUCGCUUUCAUUAUAAAGUGGAAUAAGUCGUAACAAAGUAGGUGUACUGGAAAGUGCCCCUAGAAGCUC
This 763-nucleotide non-coding RNA is filed under the name Pityophthorus pubescens. The record is from RNAcentral. Lineage: Eukaryota; Metazoa; Arthropoda; Insecta; Coleoptera; Curculionidae.